RNAcentral lists this non-coding RNA (178 nucleotides) under Hungatella hathewayi. Its description in RNAcentral is "6S RNA". It matches the Rfam family "6S / SsrS RNA". Rfam says of the family: E. coli 6S RNA was the first non coding RNA to be sequenced, but its function was unknown until recently. RNAcentral also lists the same sequence under 1 other name. The record is from RNAcentral. Lineage: Bacteria; Bacillati; Bacillota; Clostridia; Lachnospirales; Lachnospiraceae.
UGAUUCCUGGAAUGCUCGACAAUCUUACCUUCUUUGAACCUACAUUAGACAUCAUGGGAUUCCAAUAUUUUCAGACGGAUGUCAGGCCUCCUUCGAGUGGAAGGCAGAAGUUUGAGUGAGGUUGCCCACCUAGCACGGCUAGGCGUCAAAUAGUAAGAACCGGCAUUUUGGGACCACA